This 249-nucleotide ribosomal RNA is filed under the name uncultured prokaryote. RNAcentral describes it as "partial 16S ribosomal RNA". It matches the Rfam family "Bacterial small subunit ribosomal RNA", at positions 524 to 772 of the family's 1533-position model. The record is from RNAcentral.
UACGGAGGAUGCAAGCGUUAUCCGGAUUCAUUGGGCUUAAAGGGUGCGUAGGCGGACUAUUAAGUCAGUGGUGAAAGCCUGCAGCUUAACUGCAGAACUGCCAUUGAUACUGAUAGUCUUGAGUUUGGUUAAGGUAGGCGGAAUGUGUUAUGUAGCGGUGAAAUGCUUAGAUAUUACACAGAACACCAAUUGCGUAGGCAGCUUACUGAGCCGACACUGACGCUGAGGCACGAAAGCGUGGGGAUCGAA